GACGAACGCUGGCGGCGUGCUUAACACAUGCAAGUCGAACGGAAAGGCCCUGCUUUUGUGGGGUGCUCGAGUGGCGAACGGGUGAGUAACACGUGAGUAACCUGCCCUUGACUUUGGGAUAACUUCAGGAAACUGGGGCUAAUACCGGAUAGGAGCUCCUGCUGCAUGGUGGGGGUUGGAAAGUUUCGGCGGUUGGGGAUGGACUCGCGGCUUAUCAGCUUGUUGGUGGGGUAGUGGCUUACCAAGGCUUUGACGGGUAGCCGGCCUGAGAGGGUGACCGGCCACAUUGGGACUGAGAUACGGCCCAGACUCCUACGGGAGGCAGCAGUGGGGAAUAUUGCGCAAUGGGCGGAAGCCUGAUACAGCAACGCCGCGUGCGGGAUGACGGCCUUCGGGUUGUAAACCGCUUUCGCCUGUGACGAAGCGUGAGUGACGGUAAUGGGUAAAGAAGCACCGGCUAACUACGUG
Molecule: ribosomal RNA, 468 nt
Filed under: uncultured bacterium
Lineage: Bacteria
Description: partial 16S ribosomal RNA
Rfam family: Bacterial small subunit ribosomal RNA
Source: RNAcentral